UACAGAGGUCUCAAGCGUUGUUCGGAUUCAUUGGGCGUAAAGGGUGUGUAGGUGGCGCGCUAAGCCGGGUGUGAAAUUUCGGAGCUUAACUCCGAAACUGCAUUCGAUACUGGCGUGCUUGAGGACUGGAGAGGAGACUGGAAUUCAUGGUGUAGCAGUGAAAUGCGUAGAGAUCAUGAGGAAGACCAGUGGCGAAGGCGGGUCUCUGGACAGUUCCUGACACUGAGACACGAAGGCCAGGGGAGCAAACGGG
RNAcentral lists this ribosomal RNA (253 nucleotides) under uncultured bacterium. RNAcentral describes it as "partial 16S ribosomal RNA". It matches the Rfam family "Bacterial small subunit ribosomal RNA", at positions 524 to 776 of the family's 1533-position model. The record is from RNAcentral.